Long non-coding RNA from Pogoniulus pusillus (Red-fronted tinkerbird), 1360 nucleotides. RefSeq lists it as uncharacterized. The transcript has 5 exons. NCBI's taxonomy places the organism in Eukaryota, Metazoa, Chordata, Aves, Piciformes, Lybiidae. The record is from RefSeq and is a predicted model, not a curated record.
UAAGGAUUUAAUUUCUUGCCAUAAAAUAUUCCAAUUAGCCUCAAACCAGCACAGUAGGUGUCUUUUGAACAUAAGCAAACUUAUAAAUAUGAAGAUUUAUUACUGUGCAUGAUGUAUUGACUUUACAUUGACCUUCAAGAAAUGCAUUUUUCUUGAUAUUCAACUUUCUUGGUGAUGAACCUCCAGCCCAGCUUUCAGCAGAUGAGUUCUUUGGUGCCUCAGGGACCAAUUGAACAUGAGGAAAUAAAAGCUGGAUCUCAUGUCCUGCCAAGUUUUCACCAAGCAAGCCUGUUCUUACGAGUGCAAUCUGUAGAAGAAAGAGACCAGAUCUUUCAUAAGAAGUCUCUGUAAAUAUUUAGCACUAAAUGUUGUAGGUCCUUUGUCUGUCAGAACGUAGAAGUGUUUCAAAAGAUGUGUUGUACAUUUAUCUCUUGCAUUAUUUCUUUGUUUUUACUUGGAAGAUGUCAGCAGUUCAGAAAGAAUCUCAAGCAGUGGAAAGUGGAUCUUGGCCUAAAGAUGGGCUGUUAACACACAAGAAGCAGGCUCUGUCCUUGGAUGUGCUACAGGUGGAAGAAAAAAAGCAAUAUUAAAAAUUAAACCACAUGAAACUCAGAAAGAUACACAUGAGGAACACCACUUGCGACAGUCUUUGCCUCUGGCAUGCUUCAGCUGUCAAGUAAUUUAUUUAAUUAUUGUAAGAAAAAUACUGAAAAUGUAUUAUUAGUCCAUAUAAUGAUACUUGUGGAGACAAAAUAAUGUCACUCCCCCCAAAUUUGCUCUGAACACUAUCUGUUCCUGACCUAAAUUACCAGGUUUUGUAUCUCCAGUUUUAAUAUAUUUAUCUCCUUGAAAUCGUUCUGGUUUAUGAUUUUUAAAAUCCAGAGGGCCUGUUCACUUCUUCUGCAUGUAGAUGAAACUUCACUUGGCUGCAGCACAAACUGAAGCUGCUUUUGUGGGGGUUGAAUUUGUCCAUACAAUUCCAAGCAUAAUCUAAUCAAAAUAAUUAAAAACAAACAAUGGAAAAUACCACAAAUUUAAUAUAAGCAACGCCAGCUGUAAGUCAUCAUCUUUAAAUAGAGAAGAUGUAUUAAAAAUUCAUUAACUUGAAUUUGUAUUACAGUCAGUGCUUGUCUGAAAUUCAGGAGAUUUUUACAUGGAGAGCUGUAAUUUAAGGACAACUGCUUAAUACCUUGCUCUUGUCGUAGGUUGUGUCUGUCAUUAUGUAGCAGAAGCACAGAUUACAAGCGUAGUACAGACCAUGUCCUAAUUUAACUGAUCCUGUCCAUCCCAUGUCAAGUGAGACUCUUUAGUUUUAUGGUCUUACAAGAUCUGCUAAUAAGAUCUUUAUAGAUAGCUUUGU